AUUUUAUAAUGGUGAAAACAAAUACUAACAGAAGUAAAUUUCGUAUUUCAUAUUUUAGGCGGCCCAUAAAACUUUCAGAAUCAAGCAAAAGCUUGCCAAGAAGUUGAAGCAAAAUCGUUCCGUGCCCCAAUGGAUUCGUUUGCGCACAGGAAAUACUAUUAGAUACAACGCCAAGAGGCGCCACUGGAGACGUACCAAGUUGAAGUUGUAAGCUUCAUCUCGGAG
Long non-coding RNA from Musca vetustissima, 225 nucleotides. RefSeq lists it as uncharacterized. The record is from RefSeq and is a predicted model, not a curated record. NCBI's taxonomy places the organism in Eukaryota, Metazoa, Arthropoda, Insecta, Diptera, Muscidae. The transcript has 2 exons.